AUGGCGGCGGCGGCGGCAGUGGUUGCCCUCGCGUGCGUCCUCUCCCUCGUUCUCUCCGCGCAGGCGGAGGCUCCCUACAGGUUCUUCGACUGGGAGGUCACCUAUGGCGACAUCAACCCGCUCGGAGGAGUUCCGCAGCAGGGUAUUCUGAUCAACGGGCAGUUUCCGGGGCCGGAGAUCGACUGCCAGACGAACGACAACCUGGUCAUCAACGUGCGCAACCGGCUGCCGCAGCCGUUCCUGCUUUCAUGGAACGGGAUCCAGCACAGGAAGAACUCGUGGCAGGAUGGCGUGUCCGGCACCAACUGCCCGAUCCCUCCGGGCCAGAACUACACGUACCACAUGCAGGCCAAGGACCAGAUCGGCAGCUUCUUCUACUUCCCGUCGCUCGCCUUCCACAAGGCGGCCGGCGGCUUCGGCGCCAUCCGCAUCAACAGCCGCCCGCGGAUCCCCGUCCCCUUCCCCCCGCCGGCCGACGAGUUCACCGUGCUCAUCGGCGACUGGUACAACACCACCCACAAGGCUCUCCAAGCCAUGCUGGACGACGGGAAGCUGCUGCCUUCCCCUGACGCCAUCCUGAUCAACGGCAAGGGCCCGGGGCGCGCCAACUUCACGGUGGAGCAGGGUAAGACGUACAGGCUGCGCGUCUCCAACGUCGGCCUGCGGAGCACGCUCAACUUCAUGAUCCAGGACCACAACGUGACCCUCGUGGAGGUGGAGGGCACCCACACGGUGCAGAACACCUACACCUCCCUCGACGUCCACGCCGGCCAGUCGCUCUCCGUGCUCUUCACCGCCGACCGCCCCGCCGGGGGCUACCACAUCGCCGUCUCGUCGCGGUUCACCAACCACACCCUCAACUCCACCGCCGUGCUGCGCUACGCCGGCUCGACCGGCUACGCCUCCGGGCCGCCGCGUGCCGUGAACCAGAGCGACGUUGACUUUUCGCUUAACCAGGCUCGCUCCAUCAGGACGAACCUGACGGCGAGCGGGCCGCGGCCGAACCCGCAGGGCUCGUACCACUACGGGUCCAUCAACGUGAGCCGCACCAUCCGGCUGGCCAACUCGGCGGGGCAGGUCGGCGGCAAGCCGAGGUACGGCGUGAACGGCGUGACGUACGUGGACGCCGACACGCCCCUCAAGCUGGCCGACUACUACAACAUCAGCGGCGUGUACCGGAUGGGCGCCAUCCCGGACGCGCCCGCGGCCAGCCACAGCGGGACGCAGAACGGGACCGGCGCCGACGCGGCGCUGAAGAACGCGACGGCCGUCAUGGACUCCGACCACCGCUCCUUCGUCGAGGUCGUGUUCGAGAACAGCGAGGACAGCGUCCAGAGCUGGCACCUCGACGGCUACAGCGUCUUCGUCGUCGGGAUGGACAAGGGGGCGUGGAGCGAGGAGAGCAGGAAAGGCUACAAUCUCGUGGAUGCAGUCACGAGGUGCACGGUGCAGGUAGGAUUUUCUUUCUUUUCAUUCAUGCUUAGUGGUGGUAUCAAAAUACUGUCAAUGUGUUUUUAUUCACCUAUUCUGUUGUUGGUUUGCGAAGGUGUAUCCGAGAGGGUGGACGGCGAUCUUCAUCGCGCUGGACAACGUGGGGAUGUGGAACGUGAGGUCGGAGGAUUGGGUGCGCAGGUACCUGGGCCAGCAGUUCUACCUCCGGGUGUACACGCCGGCGCACUCCGUCCGCGACGAGCUCACCGUGCCGACCAACGCGAUCCUCUGCGGCCGCGCUGCCAACAAGAGCCGCCUGCCAUUCUCUCAGUAGUGAGCACUGAGCAGCCGCUGGCAGGGAAUGAUCCAAUUGUAUCAGAGUAUUAG
RNAcentral lists this ribosomal RNA (1818 nucleotides) under Triticum aestivum (bread wheat). RNAcentral describes it as "partial small subunit ribosomal RNA". Lineage: Eukaryota; Viridiplantae; Streptophyta; Magnoliopsida; Poales; Poaceae. The record is from RNAcentral.